GACGAACGCUGGCGGCGCGCCUAACACAUGCAAGUCGAACGAGCGAGAGAGAGCUUGCUUUCUCGAGCGAGUGGCGAACGGGUGAGUAACGCGUGAGGAACCUGUCUCAAAGAGGGGGACAACAGUUGGAAACGACUGCUAAUACCGCAUAAGCCCACGGGUCGGCAUCGACCAGAGGGAAAAGGAGCAAUCCGCUUUGAGAUGGCCUCGCGUCCGAUUAGCUAGUUGGUGAGGUAACGGCCCACCAAGGCGACGAUCGGUAGCCGGACUGAGAGGUUGAACGGCCACAUUGGGACUGAGACACGGCCCAGACUCCUACGGGAGGCAGCAGUGGGGAAUAUUGCACAAUGGGGGAAACCCUGAUGCAGCGACGCCGCGUGGAGGAAGAAGGUCUUCGGAUUGUAAACUCCUGUUGUUG
This 418-nucleotide ribosomal RNA is filed under the name uncultured bacterium. Its description in RNAcentral is "bacterial SSU rRNA". It matches the Rfam family "Bacterial small subunit ribosomal RNA", at positions 28 to 441 of the family's 1533-position model. The record is from RNAcentral.